AGUGACGUCAAGUCAUCAUGGCCCUUACGGCCAGGGCUACACACGUACUACAAUGGUAGGGACAGAGGGCUGCAAGCCGGCGACGGUAAGCCAAUCCCAGAAACCCUAUCUCAGUCCGGAUUGGAGUCUGCAACUCGACUCCAUGAAGUCGGAAUCGCUAGUAAUCGCAGAUCAGCAUUGCUGCGGUGAAUACGUUCCCGGGCCUU
Molecule: ribosomal RNA, 206 nt
Filed under: uncultured Stenotrophomonas bacterium
Lineage: Bacteria; Pseudomonadati; Pseudomonadota; Gammaproteobacteria; Lysobacterales; Lysobacteraceae
Description: partial 16S ribosomal RNA
Rfam family: Bacterial small subunit ribosomal RNA
Source: RNAcentral